UAAUACGAAUGGAGCGAGCGUUGUUCGGAAUCACUGGGCGUAAAGCGUGCGCAGGCGGUCUUGAAAGUCAGGAGUGAAAUCCCAGGGCUUAACCCUGGAAUUGCUCUUGAAACUCCAAGACUGGAGUACUGGAGAGGUUGGCGGAAUUCCGAGUGUAGCAGUGAAAUGCGUAGAUAUUCGGAGGAACACCGAUGGCGUAGGCAGCCAACUGGACAGUUACUGACGCUCAUGCACGAAAGCGUGGGGAUCAAACAGG
RNAcentral lists this ribosomal RNA (256 nucleotides) under uncultured bacterium. RNAcentral's name for it is "partial 16S ribosomal RNA". It matches the Rfam family "Bacterial small subunit ribosomal RNA", at positions 521 to 776 of the family's 1533-position model. The record is from RNAcentral.